This 414-nucleotide ribosomal RNA is filed under the name uncultured microorganism. RNAcentral's name for it is "bacterial SSU rRNA". It matches the Rfam family "Archaeal small subunit ribosomal RNA", at positions 459 to 872 of the family's 1478-position model. The record is from RNAcentral.
CAGCCGCCGCGGUAAUACCGGCGGCCCGAGUGGCGGUCACUAUUAUUGGGCUUAAAGCGUCCGUAGCCGGGUUGGGAAGUCCUCCGGGAAAUCUGGCCGCUUAACGGUCAGAAUGCCGGAGGAUACUCCCAGCCUAGGGAGCGGGGGAGGCCGAGGGGAUUCCCGGGGUAGGGGGGAAAUCCUAUAAUCCCGGGAGGACCACCUGUGGCGAAGGCGCUCGGCUGGGACGCGUCCGACGGUGAGGGACGAAGGCCAGGGGAGCAAACCGGAUUAGAUACCCGGGUAGUCCUGGCUGUAAACGAUGCGGACUUUGUGUCGGACAAGCUAUGAGCUUGUCCGGUGCCGGAGGGAAACCGUUAAGUCCGCCGCCUGGGGAGUACGGCCGCAAGGCUGAAACUUAAAGGAAUUGGCGGG